This 75-nucleotide transfer RNA is filed under the name Salarchaeum sp. JOR-1. It matches the Rfam family "tRNA". From Rfam's summary of the family: Transfer RNA (tRNA) molecules are approximately 80 nucleotides in length. Their secondary structure includes four short double-helical elements and three loops (D, anti-codon, and T loops). Further hydrogen bonds mediate the characteristic L-shaped molecular structure. tRNAs have two regions of fundamental functional importance: the anti-codon, which is responsible for specific mRNA codon recognition, and the 3' end, to which the tRNAs corresponding amino acid is attached (by aminoacyl-tRNA synthetases). tRNAs cope with the degeneracy of the genetic code in two manners: having more than one tRNA (with a specific anti-codon) for a particular amino acid; and 'wobble' base-pairing, i.e. permitting non-standard base-pairing at the 3rd anti-codon position. The record is from Rfam by way of RNAcentral. Lineage: Archaea; Methanobacteriati; Methanobacteriota; Halobacteria; Halobacteriales; Halobacteriaceae.
GGGCCCUUAGCUUAGUCCGGUUAAAGCGCCCGGCUCAUAACCGGGUGAGCGGUGGUUCAAAUCCGCCAGGGCCCA